RNAcentral lists this long non-coding RNA (266 nucleotides) under Ananas comosus (pineapple). RNAcentral's name for it is "long non-coding RNA (ACOM_LNC015027)". Lineage: Eukaryota; Viridiplantae; Streptophyta; Magnoliopsida; Poales; Bromeliaceae. The record is from RNAcentral.
AGGACUUGUAAUAAAUUUUGAUAACGACCCGACCAACCAACAACAAUAUAUAACUCGUUGGACCUAAACUAGGUGUCCAAAAUGAUUAAGCCUAAUUUUUAUUAGUAGCGUAUAUAUAACUCGUUGGACCUAAACUAGGUGUCCAAAAUGAUUAAGCCUAAUUUUUAUCAGUAGCGUAUAUAUAACUCGUUGGACCUAACUAGGUGUCCAAAUGAUUAAGCCUAAUUUUUAUUAGUAGCGUAUAAGCCUCAUAUAUUCUAAUCAGA